This 212-nucleotide unclassified non-coding RNA is filed under the name soil metagenome. RNAcentral's name for it is "partial contains 5.8S ribosomal RNA, internal transcribed spacer 2, and large subunit ribosomal RNA". The record is from RNAcentral.
AACCUUAUGGACCUGCGGGCGUAUACCUGCGGAAGGAUCAUUACCGAGUUAUACAACUCAUCAACCCCUGUGAACUUACCUACAACGUCGCUUCGGCGGGAACAGACGGCCCCGUAAAACGGGCCGCCCCCGCCAGAGGACCCCUAACUCUGUUUUUAUAAUGUUUUUCUGAGUAAACAAGCAAAUAAAUUAAAACUUUCAACAAUGGAUCU